AUCUCUCCAAUUCGAAGGGCGGCAAAAAAAGUUAAAGAAAAAGCUGCAGAAAACAAACACUCUUCAAUAUGCGUUUUCCGCAAUAACACAACCCGGACCUUCAAAUUGAGGCUCAGAAAGACCGUUGAGAAGCCGUCCAAUCAGCUGUCAAGAAGACCCCGAGAUCAACAGACCCA
This is a long non-coding RNA of Bufo gargarizans (Asiatic toad), 176 nucleotides long. RefSeq lists it as uncharacterized. The record is from RefSeq and is a predicted model, not a curated record. The transcript is spliced from 3 exons. Lineage: Eukaryota; Metazoa; Chordata; Amphibia; Anura; Bufonidae.